Molecule: ribosomal RNA, 497 nt
Filed under: uncultured bacterium
Lineage: Bacteria
Description: partial 16S ribosomal RNA
Rfam family: Bacterial small subunit ribosomal RNA
Source: RNAcentral
GACGAACGCUGGCGGCGUGCCUAAUACAUGCAAGUUGAGCGAUGAAGAUUGGUGCUUGCACCAAUUUGAAGAGCAGCGAACGGGUGAGUAACGCGUGGGGAAUCUGCCUUUGAGCGGGGGACAACAUUUGGAAACGAAUGCUAAUACCGCAUAACAACUUUAAACAUAAGUUUUAAGUUUGAAAGAUGCAAUUGCAUCACUCAAAGAUGAUCCCGCGUUGUAUUAGCUAGUUGGUGAGGUAAAGGCUCACCAAGGCGAUGAUACAUAGCCGACCUGAGAGGGUGAGCGGCCACAUUGGGACUGAGACACGGCCCAAAAUCCUACGGGAGGGAGCAGUAGGGGAUCUUCGGCAAUGGACGAAAGUCUGACCGAGCAACGCCGCGUGAGUGAAGAAGGUUUUCGGAUCGUAAAACUCUGUUGGUAGAGAAGAACGUUGGUGAGAGUGGAAAGCUCAUCAAGUGACGGUAACUAACCAGAAAGGGACGGCUAACUACGUG